GGGGCAACAUCUCGAAAGGGAUGCUAAUACCGCAUACGUCCUACGGGAGAAAGCAGGGGAUCUUCGGACCUUGCGCUAAUAGAUGAGCCUAAGUCGGAUUAGCUAGUUGGUGGGGUAAAGGCCUACCAAGGCGACGAUCUGUAGCGGGUCUGAGAGGAUGAUCCGCCACACUGGGACUGAGACACGGCCCAGACUCCUACGGGAGGCAGCAGUGGGGAAUAUUGGACAAUGGGGGGAACCCUGAUCCAGCCAUGCCGCGUGUGUGAAGAAGGCCUUAUGGUUGUAAAGCACUUUAAGCGAGGAGGAGGCUACUUUAGUUAAUACCUAGAGAUAGUGGACGUUACUCGCAGAAUAAGCACCGGCUAACUCUGUGCCAGCAGCCGCGGUAAUACAGAGGGUGCGAGCGUUAAUCGGAUUUACUGGGCGUAAAGCGUGCGUAGGCGGCUUAUUAAGUCGGAUGUGAAAUCCCCGAGCUUAACUUGGGAAUUGCAUUCGAUACUGGUGAGCUAGAGUAUGGGAGAGGAUGGUAGAAUUCCAGGU
Molecule: ribosomal RNA, 540 nt
Filed under: Klebsiella pneumoniae
Lineage: Bacteria; Pseudomonadati; Pseudomonadota; Gammaproteobacteria; Enterobacterales; Enterobacteriaceae
Description: bacterial SSU rRNA
Rfam family: Bacterial small subunit ribosomal RNA
Source: RNAcentral